AGCAGCCGCGGUAAUUCCAGCUCCAAUAGCGUAUAUUAAAGUUGUUGCAGUUAAAAAGCUCGUAGUUGAACUUCAGGCCUGUCCAGACGGUCCGCCUUAAUUGGUGUGUACUGUCCUUGGGUGGGUCCUACCUUCUGGCGAAGCGGCAUGGCCUUAAUUGGUUGUGUCGGGGAACCAGGACUUUUACUGUGAAAAAAUUAGAGUGUUCAAAAGCAGGCAAAUAUGCUCGAAUACAUUAGCAUGGAAUAAUGGAAUAGGACGAUGGUUCUAUUUUGUUGGUUCUAGGACCGUUGUAAUGAUUAAUAGGGAUAGUUGGGGGCAUUAGUAUUCAAUUGUCAGAGGUGAAAUUCUUGGAUUAUUGAAGACUAACUACUGCGAAAGCAUUUGCCAAGGAUGUUUUCUAUUAAUUCAAGAAACGAAAGUUAAGGGGUAUCGAAGACGAUCAGAUACCGUCGUAGUCUUAAACCAUAAACUAUGCCGACUAGGAAAUCGGGCGAUGUUGACAAAAUAGAACUGCUCG
RNAcentral lists this ribosomal RNA (520 nucleotides) under uncultured Paraglomus. Its description in RNAcentral is "bacterial SSU rRNA". It matches the Rfam family "Eukaryotic small subunit ribosomal RNA", at positions 569 to 1082 of the family's 1831-position model. The record is from RNAcentral. Lineage: Eukaryota; Fungi; Glomeromycota; Glomeromycetes; Paraglomerales; Paraglomeraceae.